UGUUACCUGAGGUGUUCGAGGCCCUGUCAGUUUGAACCUACAUUUUCUUUAAACAGGGAUUCCUACAUUGUUACAUUGAUGCCAGGCCUUCAUUGCGCAGAGGAAGGCAGAGGUGUAUCUGCGGUUACCCACCUAGCAUCGCUAGGAGUCAAGAGACAGGAACGACUCCCCGGGGCAUAU
Molecule: non-coding RNA, 180 nt
Filed under: Lachnospiraceae bacterium
Lineage: Bacteria; Bacillati; Bacillota; Clostridia; Lachnospirales; Lachnospiraceae
Description: 6S RNA
Rfam family: 6S / SsrS RNA
About the family: E. coli 6S RNA was the first non coding RNA to be sequenced, but its function was unknown until recently. It consists of 184 nucleotides that fold into an extended hairpin structure with a large single-stranded internal bulge.
Source: RNAcentral